Cyprinodon variegatus (sheepshead minnow) is the source of this 1518-nucleotide long non-coding RNA. RefSeq lists it as uncharacterized. The record is from RefSeq and is a predicted model, not a curated record. Lineage: Eukaryota; Metazoa; Chordata; Actinopteri; Cyprinodontiformes; Cyprinodontidae. The transcript has 5 exons.
AAGCCUUCAACCACCUCUCCAUCCAUCACAACCAUUCUCACAGGGACAACCACCACAAUCUCUGUCACCACAAACUCAACUGCUCUGGUUUCUUCCACCGUUCUCUUCCCAGUAUUGGUUCCUACUGCCUGUGUCUGUGUUUUGGUUUUCCUGGUGGUGCUGGUCGUACUGGUGAGACAACGUGCUCACAACAAACCUGAAGCUACCGUAGGAGGAGGAGGAGGAGGAGAGGGGGAUGAAGUCACGUACAGCCAUGUCCAAAUACAGCAGAGUGAAGAAGAGAAAACCAAACCCAGACAAGAACAUGACGGUGAUCCAUCUAUAGUCUACUCAACCAUAAGAACAGGGGAAGUGACUUAUGGGGAGAUAAUCAUCAAAAAGAAGAAGAAGAAGUCAAAGGCCAAAGAAAAAGAGAGUCAACCAGACCCAGACGUGGUCUACUCCUCGGUAGGAGGACCCAGAGCCAACCCGUGACCUCCAGCAGCUUCCAGUAACUGGCUGGAGAGAUGGAUCUUCCUCACUGGGAGCAAACCGUGACGUCGCAUUCCCAUAAACUGGUUUCCAGUGGCAGAUCAGGGAACUGGUGCUUCAUCUGGAAUGUUGCAUCCAGGAGUUAUUGUUGUGUUUUUAUUAAAUUCAAGAAAAAAAGUGAUUGAAAAGCGGAAAAUAAUUUUGAAAACCAAUGUUUUUAAAGCCAAGUCUUUGCUGUCAGUUCAAGCUCACAAGAAGCUAACGCUUUGCUUUUCAUGCAUUUAAAGGGGUCAUAGAAUGCAAAACCGAAUUUCCGUUGUCUAGGAUGAAUAACAAUAGUUCAGUUGGUGAAAUGGACGUACAGAGAAGAUCAAACCCCAUCAACACCUCCUUUCUCUGCAAAUCUCACAAUUCGAAACUUCCACCUUAAAACAGGUGAAUCCUCUGGGAUGUUGCCUUAUUUGGUUCUGGCCUGUACAUUUGUGUCGGCCCAAAACUGACAUCCAGACCAGCCCACUGGUUUAGUGGCCCAAGAACAUAAAUAGAGGUAGAUGUAAGACACCAGUUUAGCUGUUUAGCCUAUAGUUGGGUUACUUCUACAAGAAUUACGGAGCAGGCAGUUUCUCUAUUGAAAAUGAGCCAGAACCACAGGAAGGAAAUGCACAAGAAGUUCCAGGCUGCACGGAGGAAGGGGAACAUUUUCACAGUCUUCCCAAGGAUCCGAAGACUCGACAGGCAUGGAUUAUUUUUGUCUAUCAGAAGAUCCCUGCAAAGGUUGAUGCUUAGUUGUUCAUUUGCUCUAAACAUGUGACAGGUAUGCAAUUAACUAAUUGCAUACCUGGGGCAGCCAUUGUCUAGGCUACCGGCACCAGGUCAGCUUCGGUCACUCCGUCCCCCGCUGGCUCCCUGCCUCUGUCCGCCGGGGUUCCCGCACCAGACCGGAGCUGACGGCUCGGUUCUGCUGCACUGUAGUCGACCAAAAUCCCAGACGAUUUAGAAAUUCCCCCGGACAUUUUUUUAGGUAUGAAAAGUAGGACAUGUCUGGAA